This is a non-coding RNA of Durio zibethinus, 4363 nucleotides long. The record is from RefSeq and is a predicted model, not a curated record. Lineage: Eukaryota; Viridiplantae; Streptophyta; Magnoliopsida; Malvales; Malvaceae.
AAGGCCUUGAUGAUCCUACGACUACGAUGAGACCUAGGCACAGACGAUGUUUUAGCUCUGAUGAAGUGGAAGAACCAGAGCCUAAAAGACUGAAAUAGUUUCGUUUCUUUUGAGGAGGUGCAAGUUCGCAAAUUUCUGAUAUUAUUUAAAGCCCAGGCAAUUCAGUUCCAAAGCUUUUGGUUUCAGUUGAUGCUUUUCUUAGGAUACCUAGGAGCAGUUGGAAUGUGAAAGCAAGGUCCCCUCUCCCAUAAAAGAUUAUGAAUGUUUCAAGUGUCUCUUUGUCACCAAUAGAAAGGAUUUUCAGAGAAAUAUUGGGUUUUCAAGUCUAGGUUGUGACAAAUGUAAUUUUUUUCCCUCAAAUUAAUUACGUGCUACCUUUUCAAGCUCAAUUACAGAGUUUGACUUCAAUAUGAUGUUAUGAAGCUAGAGAUUUGCAUCCCUUUGCUACUUGCUACAUGCUAUUGCUGCUGCCUCUGCAGUUGCAGAUCAUCAAGGUAAAUGAGCUUCUAUAACUAGUCGAAAGUGCAAGUUCACCUUUUUCUUUUCAGAAAAAUUAUAUGAAGCAUAACAUGAAAUCUUUAACUAUCUUGCGGUCUUGAAUCGUAAUCAAUUUCAAUGCUUUCUUAAAGCUACAUCAGUGAUGUUGCAAGUUUAUAUCAUCUGAUAGUCAGAACUUUGUCGUUGUCAUCUCACAGUAGAAAAAGUAGAUCACACCUGCACCAUUAUUGAGAAUUGGGGAAAAUAAAAACAAAAAGGAAACAAAAAAAAAGGAAACUAGAAUUUUUUUUUCCAAUAGAAGGUUAUUUUAACAUCUUUAAGGAAAGUUUGAAACUUAUUUACCUAAAUGGGAUAUUCAUGCUGUCAUUUUUUUUUUUUGUUUUCCUUUUACAUACAAAAUACAAGUGAUUACACUUUCUCUGCUUCGAUGCUUUAACUCUCCUUCAAUCAAAUACCAGUGGCAAGUAUGAAAGGGAAAAGUUUAGGUGGGUUCUUCAUUUAUGUGCUUUAUCUCUCUUUUUCUUUUGGGGAUUUGUUAUUGUCUUGAAAUUAAAUUCCCAAACUCUUCAUCUAUAUGCUUAAUUCCAUCAUAGUUUUCAAUUAUAGUUUUUGGGGUUUAUAGUUUUGAAUUAUAGAUUUUUGGGUUCAUGUAGUAGAAACAGCAAUCACUUGUGUGGACUUGGGUUUUAUAUUUAGGUUGAACUAAUUUUGUUAAGCUUGUUAAAUGGGGUCGGUGAACUUGAGUGUUGCUAUAAUUCCUAUGUCACAUCAGUUUGGGUGGAAUUCAUCAGUAAAUGGAUUAGUGCAACCACCAUUCUUUUGGGGACAUGCUUGAUUCAAUUGCCAGGGGUUUGCUAGCGAAGCUUUUUGGUGGAAGGUUAGUUUUUGAAGACUUUGGCUAUUUAGGGCAAAUGUGCUAUCUUUCAUAUUUUCCUGCUUGCAAUACAUAAUAGAAAGUUGUCAUUUCAAAUUCCAAAAGGUAAAAGAGAGCAGAUAAUCUAAUAAUUUUACCCACAAUUUAAGGUCUGCAUUCAGAAUUUAAGGAAUAAUUUUGCUAUUCACUGGCAUUAAUGAGCUGCUACCAUCUCUAGUUAGGAUGCUAAGUGAAUUCUACGGUUUGGGCUACUUUUAAGGCCACGCAUUACUUGAUUGUGUAAGCACAUUAAUUUGAUGCCUUGUUGAAGGUGGCCAACUGUUUGGACUAGGUUUAUUUGGAUAUGGCAAAUGCAGACUGAAACUAAUUCUAAUGUAGUUGGUUUAAUUAAAUAUGGAAAAUGCACUGAAUUUUAAUUGUGCUAACAAUACUAGCAGUUGGGUUGGUUGUUCCUAUUGGUACUAUGCCGCUUGUGGUAUGCAGAGGAAUCUUGUCAAGCCAAGUCAUAGCUAAAGGGGCCAUCUGGUACGACAGGAAUGCAAUUUCACUUCAUGGGAUGUGGUCAUGCUUCAGCAACACUCGGGUUUAUUAAGGAUGUGUUUUUAUGCUGUGCAAAGGACUGGGGGUCCGGAAACACUAACAAAGGAGCUUGACUGUGUAAAGAGGAUUUUCAGGGGCAGUGAUGAUUCAAAGGGCAAGGACCUGCAUACCAAAGCUGAUGAGCUAUUUGCCCGGCUCAAAAAAUAAAAUGAUUCUGCUACAGAUGUAUGCAGCAUCGUUAUUCAGUUCUUCAAUUAUGCAAAUGAUUGGUUGAAGCAAAGGAUCGCAAAGCACAGUUCCAAGGCAGAGGAUAAAACAGAGUCCUAAGGCAAUGCCAAAGCUCCAAAAGAAGCAAUUUAAGGAGGAGGUUACAUCCUGCUUGUUUUGGAGAUAUGGUCAAGCUCAAGCUGCAUAUAGAUUCUUAAUACUUGGAAAGAGCUAAAGCAGAGGUAAAGAGAUCAAAUGCAAUCCUAACAAGAUCCAGCCCAGCUUUCCUCGCGAUUCGACUAGGCUCACCUUGAAGCUGAGUUCGUCAUUGCUUUUUUUCAAAGAUGCUUGCACUGAGAAAGACAAUCGUGAACAUCAGUAUAUAAUGACUGCAAUGGAAGUUUUAGCCCCGAUGAGGUCGGAAAAGGAGCAGCCAUUUAGAAAUUAGAAGCAAGGACAAUGAGGAUGCCAUUUUCCCGAUGUUGGUGAAUCAAUGAUUGAAUGAGAUAGCUGAUUAUUGGAAAAGACCAUGGUGACCCUUCUACUCAAAAUGAAACCAGGAUGAAAUUCAAGUUUUUGCAGUAAUAGGAGGGAUGACCAGGCCUUUACAGAGCUUCAAUUUUUCUUUGAGAUUCUUUGCUUUAUGCCUGUACUUGAACUGAGACUUCAAGGCACUACGAGUUCUCGACAAACCUGUCCUUUCUUGGUCUUACUCAUUACGGUUCAUCAUGAAUUUUAACUAUUUUUAAGUUCUUCUGUGUCUUCCCCGAAUCUAUUUUUAAGGUAAAUCACUGCUUUCACAGCAGGAUCUUAAAUCUCUUCCAGGUGAGCUCAGUUAUUUUCAGUAGGAGUAUUGCCCAUUGAAAUCUUUGCCAUCAAAUUUUAGUCCAGAGAAGCUUGUGGAAUUAAGAUUACCGAAUAUUAACUAACUUUGGCCUAAAGAUCAGGCAUAUAUACUUUAAUAAUGUGCUCAUCCAAAAAGAAAACAUAUUUCGUUUCCUUUUUUUUUUUUUUCCCAUUUUGAAUAAAACUCUAAAUUUAAUUACAGACUUGAAAUUAAUGUAGUUAGUUUUUUAUUUUCAUCCUACAGAAUCUUGUGAAUUUAAGAGUGAUUGACCUCCGAAAUUACAAGAAUUUAACAAAGAUCCCAGAUCUGUCAAGAUCCAUAAACAUUGAAGAAUUGGAGGUUGGUGGGUGCAUAAGCUUGGUUGAGCUUCCAUGCAUUGUUCAUUUGAAAUUUCUUGAAAUCUCUGUCUUAGUGACUGCCCAAUCACAAUAUUUCCAGAAUUCCUAGAACCUUAAAGACAUUAAACUUGAGUGGGACUGAAAUAGAAGAAGUGCCUUCAUCAAUUGAGUGUCUCAGAGAACUUGCUUCUUUACCAAUGAGCUAUACACGAAUUAAAAAUCUUCCUAGUACUGUUGUUAAGAUGAAUUCCCUUUUAGAAAAAUCUGUCUCUCUCAUUGCCCAAACAUCACUCGUUUUCCAAAUGUUUCAGAGAACAUAAAAGACUUAAUUUUGAGCAAUAUUCAAAUCGAAGAGGUGCCUUCAUCAAUCGGUUGUCUCAGAGAAUUUGUUUUUUUAGAUAUGAGUGGCACAAGAAUUGAAAAUCAUCCAUGUAAAUAUGGAUUUCCUAAAAGCAAUCCAUCUCCGUCAUUGCCCAAACAUCACCCAGUUUCCAAAUGUUUGGAGCAACAAAGAAAUCUUAUUACCGGACGACACAGCAAUAGAAGAAGUGCCCUCAUCAAUUGUUAGGCUUGAAAGCCUGUCCAUGUUGAGUGUGAAUGACUGUACAAGGAUUAAAAGCUUUCCAACAUGUAUUUGCAAGCUGAAAUGUCUUCGACAACUUUGUCGCCUAGGCUGUUCAAAUUUAGAUACUUUCCCAGCAAUCGUGGAGACUAUGCAAUGUCUAACAAAGCUUGCUUGUUCGAAAAGAUUAAGUAUAAAAGUCACACCCAUCUUGAAUGACCACAUAAUUCGUGUGAGGUACAGUAGAAACUUGAAUCUUCUGGGUGUCAUCCUUAGCGGUAGCUUUAGCAAAUUUGAUGUUUUGACGACUCUAGAUCUGAGUGGGUCAAAUAUAGUGAAAACUCCCAUAAGCAUGCAACAACUUCCCAAUCUAAUUUCUCUUUUACUUAAAAUGUUGCAAGAACCUUAUAAUAUUGCCUGAGCUUCCACCACGUCUACGAAACCUAAAUGCACAUGACUGUACUUCAUUAGAACUGGUGUUGGGCAGAAGACGGUUU